This is a long non-coding RNA of Zalophus californianus (California sea lion), 3910 nucleotides long. RefSeq lists it as uncharacterized. Lineage: Eukaryota; Metazoa; Chordata; Mammalia; Carnivora; Otariidae. The record is from RefSeq and is a predicted model, not a curated record. The transcript has 6 exons.
CAGGAGGAGCGUGCCGUUAGGCGCCGUGGGAUUCGGGGAACCGCAAGCUGCGAUUGCUGGCUUUUCUGCGCACACGGUCGGGAGCUGAGGUCCGCGGGGAGGGGAGGACAGGAACUAGCAGGGCUGGGUGAUGGCGCAGCCGAUGUGACCGGAGAGUGCAGGAGCCGUCUCGGGCCUCGGCCUGAAACCCUCCGAGGCCCGUGGCCUGCAGAAGGGCCCCCUCCGAGGACAAAUGACUGAAUUUUGGAAGGUGAGAAAUCACCUUCAUUCCCCACCAGAAAAAAAUUAAACCAAUGCUGUGGACUCCCGCAGUGAUUUACUUCUGAGAGAAACCUUCAAAUAUGAGCACAAGGCGUAAGAACCCAGUAUGUUUAGGUGCCAGUCUCAACUUCCAGUUCAAUGGAGCCAUUGCUGUGUCCUCUGACAGACAUUAUUGCCCCUUUAGAUGGCCCGUGUAUUCUGGCUGUGGGAGAAACAGAACCAAGAAGUGGUCACUAGCUUGAAGUUCACGAAGGACAGCACCCCAGACUUGCAAGGUGGCUUAUCUGUGUGACUUCUCAUUCAACCUCUCUUCGUCUAUUUCUUGUGCUCCAGCAAGACCCUGAGAAGCUGCUGCUGCCAACCUGUGUGACAUAGCCACACUAUUGUGAACGGGGUUUUCCUUUUUGCCCCAAAAGUCUGAUUGCUUACUUGAUUGACUGCCAGUCCAUCGUAACUGUGAGAGGAGAGCUUCGGAGAGCAGUGAACGACCUCCCUCGACAUGUGGGCACAGGACACUGCAACAAGAUUAAUUCACAUCCAGAUUUUGAUAAACUACAAUCACAUCUCAGGAAAAUGCAAGUUAAAAUGCUUCAUUUAAUACUGUUUUAAGUUGGUCCCAGAAUGGUGUUGUAGUAAAACGCACUAUGAGCUUAAUGAGUUUCUAUUUCCAUCUGCAUCAAUUCUGUAUUACAAGCUUUUGAAGCAUUUUUCAGCUGGUCCCUCUCGAUUACUGCUCUUAUUCUUUCAGCCGUGGGUGUGUAAGGCUCCUCACAAGCCUCUCACACUGAGCACAUAUUCCUUCCUUUGUGCAGUCUCCUGAUCCUUGCAUGCCCUCUUGCAUCCAAUCCCACAUAUCCAGCCCCAAAUCUCCCCUUUUCCAAAGUCUUCCUGGGUCUCCUUUAAUCCUCAGCUCUCCUAUCUCACUUCCUUUUGCACUGUUUGUGUAAUAUUUAUUGUACCACAGAGACAACCCUCAACAAGCAAGUGAGUUGUGUUCAAGUAUUUAAAAGUCCCUUCUUUCCUAUUUGGACCUCAAGAUGCAUUUAUAAAUUCAGAGAUUGUGCCCGACUGUAUUUUCCAAAUAUGGUUGCAACAGUAGCUCCUCAUGACCCUUUCUAGAACCUUCCCACUUCCUCAUCAAGAGAUAGUCUAAUUUCCCUCUCCUGGGAUCUGGACAGGCUUAUGACUCACUUUGUAACCAACAGAAGUGAUGACACCUGAUUUCUGAGGCUAGCUCAAAAGAGGAAAGCCAUUUUUUUCCUGAGAGCUGGACCUGUUUCUUGAAGCUCUCAGCAGCCAUGUGAGCAGACUGAGUAUCCUGAGCUGCCAUACUGUGUACAAGAAGCCAAAACCAGCCCAGAGAGACAGGAGGAGAGAUGCCCAGUCAGCCCCCAACCACUCCAGCCUCUUGCUGUUCAGCUCUAUUCACCACUUGACUACAAUUCCCUAAGAGACCUACAUGCAGAACUACCUGGCCAAGCAGUUCUUCCAUACUUCGGACUAACAGAAACCAUGAGAAAUAAUGAAAUGACUGUUGUUAUUUUGAGCCACUAAGUUUUAGGGUGAUUUGUUAUACAGUAAUGACUAAAACACGGAUCUCCUGAACAACCAUCUUUUUGGUCAUUUCAAUUCAUGGAAGUUCAGACACAUGCAGAACCUCUUCACAUUAGUGCUCCUCUUACAGUCAGCAUUACUACCCACUAUAUUAGAGAGCAUGGAAAUACCUUGACCAAAUACAGUUUAAAGAAAAUAUCCAGCAAGUCAGGAUCAAAAUUCUGGCCUCUGAACUAAAGGCAGAGCCUGAACCCUAACCCCAGACAAACAGUAGAUGACACUCAUUUACCAACACCACUGAUUAUUCAGAACCAAUAGCCAAACUCACACACCCUAUUCUUCUUGUAAGAGAAGGGAACCUUACAAAUUUCAAUUUGUGUAAAAAUGUAGUCAGUGUAAAAUUUAUUCAAGUCCAAGGAUGGUAAAGGCAACUCUGGAAAAGAACAGAUAUGGUAAGUAUCCCUGCCUUAUCAAAAAUUUUAAUGAGAUCAGUGUAAAUAGAAUUGUAUAGAGCUGGUACAGGACCAGUGAAAUGAAAUGGACUCACAUGUCUACAGGACAGUGUACCAUAGAGGAAACAAUACACGUCAGUAGGAAUACAGGGCUUAAUUAAUAAAUGGUGACAACUGGCUUUUCACUUAAAAGAAUAAAUUAGAUCCUUAGCUUUAGGCCAUUCCCAAGAUUAAAUUCCUGAUGGACAAAAAUCUAAAUAUAAAAAUGAAACAAGAGUAUUAAAAGAAAAUGUAAGAGAUAUGUUUAUAACACUCAAGUGAAGAAGGCUUUUUAAGCAGGGCAUAAAACAUAAAAGUCACAAGGGAAAAAAACUGAUCAAUUUAACCAUGUCAAAAUGUAAAACUAGAGAACAAAAAAUAUACCACAAAGUUAAAAGAUAAAGCAAAUACUGGGAGAAGAUAUCUGUAAUAUAUAUAAUCAAUGAUUAGUAUCUAGAAUUCAUAAAGAACUCCUAUCAAUAGUACAAACAGAAAAAUAAGAUUUAAACAGAAAAUUCAAUAUAGGAAAUUGAAUGGCCAAUAAGGAUGUGAAAAGAUGUUCAACUACAACAGAAAUUGGUAUAAAUACCAUUUAUACCAAUCAGACUGGCAAAAUUUAAAAAGUCUUACAAUACCAAGUGUAAAUGAGAAUACAGGGCAAUGGUCAUUGUUUAACACUACCAACAGAGGUGUAAGCUGGGACCAACACUCUGGAAAGUCGUUUUACAACAUCUAAUACUUAACAAUAAGUAUAUCCUACGAUUGAGAAAUUCCUCUGCUAAGGAGACACUUGCAAGAAUGUUCUCUGCAGCAUCAUAUAACUGUAAAAAACUGGAAACAACACAAAUGUCCACCAGGAGAAUGGAUAAAUAGUGACUAUUCAUUCAACGGAGUACUCUACAAUGGUAAAGGUGAAAAAUUUAGAUAUGUAUUAAGAUAGAUAAAGUGCAAAAUAACCAAGUGAAAAAAAAAGUUUGCAGAAAUGUUACACUCAGUACACCAUUUAUGUAAAAACACACAACAAAACAAACCCUACACAUAUAGUCAGGUUUGAGAAUGCAGAAUGGAAGAAUACAUGCCAAUUUCAGAAGAGUGGCUACCUCUGAGGAAGGAAAAAAGUGAGUGGAACAAGGGAGGGCAACAAAGAGACUUCAACUUUAAUUCUAAUACUUAAUAUCUUAUGUUUAAAAAAUUAAGCUAAAAUCACAAAAUAUUAAUAUUUGUCAACCAUAAUGGUGGGUAUACAAAUAUUCUCUCCACUUUUCUAUGGCUUUAAGAUCUAUAGUCUAAAAAAAGUUAAUAAAGAAAAAAAGAACACAUCACUUUCAAACAGCAGAAUAAAGGAAAGAAAACUCGGUGUGUAUAUCUAUUAAGUCAAAAUAUAAAAAUAUGAAUAGAAAGAAUACACAUUAACUUCAGAAUAAUGAUUAUCUCUGGGAAUGGUACAAGCAAGGGGGUACAAAAGAAACACUAAUCACAUCAGUAAUAUUUUAUAUCUUUAUUUUUUUUAAUUUUUUAUUGUUAUGUUAAUCACCAUACAUUACAUCAUUAGUUUUUGAUGUAGUGCUCCAUGAUUCAUUGUUUGUGCAUAACACCCAGUGCUC